Molecule: ribosomal RNA, 253 nt
Filed under: uncultured bacterium
Lineage: Bacteria
Description: partial 16S ribosomal RNA
Rfam family: Bacterial small subunit ribosomal RNA
Source: RNAcentral
UACAGAGACUGCAAGCGUUAUUCGGAUUCACUGGGCGUAAAGGGCUCGUAGGUGGCCAACUAAGUCAGACGUGAAAUCCCUCGGCUUAACCGGGGAACUGCGUCUGAUACUGGAUGGCUUGAGUUCGGGAGAGGGAUGCGGAAUUCCAGGUGUAGCGGUGAAAUGCGUAGAUAUCUGGAGGAACACCAAUGGCGAAGGCAGCACUCUGGGACGUGACUGACGCUGAGACGCGAAAGCGUGGGGAGCAAACAGG